GACGUACGCUGGCGGCGUGCUUAACACAUGCAAGUCGAACGGUAAGGCCCUUCGGGGUACACGAGUGGCGAACGGGUGAGUAACACGUGGGUGAUCUGCCCUGCACUUCGGGAUAGGCCUGGGAAACUGGGUCUAAUACCGGAUAGGACCACUGCCUGCAUGGGUGGUGGUGGAAAGCUUUUGCGGUGUGGGAUGGGCCCGCGGCCUAUCAGCUUGUUGGUGGGGUGAUGGCCUACCAAGGCGACGACGGGUAGCCGGCCUGAGAGGGUGACCGGCCACACUGGGACUGAGAUACGGCCCAGACUCCUACGGGAGGCAGCAGUGGGGAAUAUUGCACAAUGGGCGCAAGCCUGAUGCAGCGACGCCGCGUGAGGGAUGACGGCCUUCGGGUUGUAAACCUCUUUCAGCACCGACGAAGCGCAAGUGACGGUAGGUGCAGAAGAAGGACCGGCCAACUACGUGCCAGCAGCCGCCGUAA
Molecule: ribosomal RNA, 478 nt
Filed under: uncultured bacterium
Lineage: Bacteria
Description: partial 16S ribosomal RNA
Rfam family: Bacterial small subunit ribosomal RNA
Source: RNAcentral